Molecule: long non-coding RNA, 2154 nt
Organism: Herpailurus yagouaroundi (jaguarundi)
Lineage: Eukaryota; Metazoa; Chordata; Mammalia; Carnivora; Felidae
Exons: 4
Source: RefSeq, a predicted model, not a curated record
CAACCACCUUCACCUUUGGACCCUGGACCCUUUUGGAGAUGCCCAAAUCCAGCUGCCGGCCCCUCCCUCAAGCCUAAGGGUCCUCGCCCUCAGUCCCCUCCUCCCUCAGACCCAGGCAAAGUUAAACACAGGCACCUCCCACCCCGGGGAACUUUGUCCCCAGCCCUGAAAUCAGCUCAGACAGAAGACAACCGACUGAGGGAAAGUGCACAGCCUGGCAGGAAAGCAGCUGGGUCAUGAGGUUCGGGCCACCACAACAGCGGACGUAGCCUGCUCCUGCCCUGUGCGCUGGGUGAGCGGACGUGAGCAUGAAUGGCAGCAGCCACUGGUCAGUAGGUGAGUCCUGGGGAAAUGGGGGGUGCUGGGCUGCCAGGUCCUAAAGUCUGGGCCCUGAAGUCAGAGGAGUGGGGCUGGAGAGCGUGGGCCCAAGAGCGGCCGGCCGAGCAGGGUGUGGGUCUGCAUCGUGGCCUCUAGGUGGCGCUGCGUUGCCCACACAAGUCUGUGGCCACGCUUCUGUCCCGGAGGGAACCGGGCUGCACAGCAUGGAGACAGCAUGGCCACCCAUGGUGGAGACAGAGGUAUCCGGGCAGGAGAGUGGCCCUCAGAAGGAGCCACAUGGAGAAAAACAAAAAAAAAAAAAAAAAAAAAAGAGGGAAGAGCAAGAAUGAGAAAGAGACAGAUGGAAACAGAAAACAAAACUCAGGGGCCGCCUGGCUGGCUCGGCCGGAGGAACGUGGGACUCUUGAUCGCGGGUUGGUGAGCUGGAGGGUUGAGCCUCGCGCUGGGUGGAGAGAUUACUUACACAUAAAGCCUUUCAAAAGACACACUGAAGACAAAACUGAGAAGAGCAAGAAAUCAGGAACAAGAGAUGCCAAAAGAGAUUCGAUCAUAAAGACAGACCGAUACGAGAGACAGAUAGGGAGACAAACUCACGUCAAGUCAAGUCUGGAGAAAUCCAGAAAAAUUCCGAGGGCGAGAUAUAGAGAAGCUGAGGGAAGGAGGAAGAAGUGGACAGAGACCAGGCUUCAGGUGACAGACAGCACAAAGUGAAAGAAGACCAGGGGAAGCGAGCAAAGCCGACACCAGGAAACAAGCUGUCUCGGUGAUAUUUACAGACAGAGAUACCCAGGAGAUAGAGAUAUCUCUACCUCUCCCACAGGGCACAGAGAAGGGGCCGGACAGUGUCCAGAUUAUAAAUCUGCACUGGCCAUCAAGACCCUGUUGUCCUGAGAGAAGCUGUCUUCGUCUUCCCAGGACAUUUCUGCAGGCACAGGGGGCUCAGCUCAGCUCAGGGAAGGUGCUCCACCUUCUGACACCCCACGCCACGGGGAUCGGACCCAAGGGAUACCCUCAGAUGCCUCGUGCUCCCUGCCACGGGGCCCCCUCCUCCUCGGGGCCCCGCAGCGGAACCCGAGCACCGAGGGAGCGGCGCAAAGCCGGACGAGCCGGGAGCUGGUGGGCCUCCCGGAAGUGGGCCUCCCGGAGGGGUUUCCCCCAGCCUCUCUCCCCACCCAACCCUGCCCCGGCCCGGGGCCGCGAACCCACCUGCCCCAGCGCGGGUGCGGCCAUGGUCGGUGCGGCGGGCAAACUGUACCCGCCCGGGGCGCCGCCCAGAAGAAAGACGUUCCGGCCCCGCCCCGCUCACGCCCCCCGACGCGGGAGGGCCCCUCCUCUGACACCCCAGGCCGGCCGGGCCUCCCCGACUAUGGGGCGCCCAUGGGGAGCUGGGCCCUGCUGGAGAGCGCAUGCGCUGGAAUCCGCGAGGCGAAGGGGAGUCCAUUGAAAUACGCCCUCCUCCCCACCCCCACCCAGCUUCUGUUCCAGCCACGCAACCGCUGUACCAGAACGUACAUGGAAGUUUUGUUUCUGUUCGUUCUUUUGCUUUCAUGCAAAAGUACUGUCGCGGCACGCUAACGAGGAUAAGCAGUUCGAGGUGAGAGAGGAAAGGCCAGGAACAGAAAGAAACCUCCGCAUAUCUCGAUCCCUGGGUGAUAAGGAAAAGCUCUCGCUGUAAACGUCUGUAAAUAGAUCACGUAAAUGAGAAAGGACUUGGGAAAAAGGCCUCGGAAGAGGGUAGCAGGUAGGGAUGAAUGAGGGGGUUGCAAUCAACCCCUAUUUUUUUUUUCAAGAAAAUUUUAACGUUUAUUUAUUUUU